AAUUUUUCAUUCUUAUUAAUCAGUGAUCCAUUACCGACAUCGGGCGAGAUCUGCACAGUGAUAUCCGGUUGGACACAGAUAUCACGAUCCUCCAUUAGUCGUGUGUCACUGUUCAUGCGCCUUCCAAAGUCUCAGAACCCCUUUUGUGUUCGGAGUGCGUCGUUUUAUCAAGUGUGAUGACGAGCAUUUUAUUCGGUCCUUGGUACAAUAAGUUCUUAGCCUCGAUUCUGAUCCAGUGUAAUGAAUCAUAUCCUUGCUUCAUUUGACCUACUAGAAAAUUGGGGUAUAUGUUACCCCUGGUUUAAC
RNAcentral lists this long non-coding RNA (306 nucleotides) under Nicotiana benthamiana. RNAcentral describes it as "long non-coding RNA (NBEN_LNC007655)". The record is from RNAcentral. Lineage: Eukaryota; Viridiplantae; Streptophyta; Magnoliopsida; Solanales; Solanaceae.